AGGAAAAAAGCAGUUAAGAUGAUUUCCUUCAUGCCAUCAGGAACAGAGGCUCUACAACAGGGAUAACAGACACACGGCUACACCUCCUCCUUCCGUCCUCACUACUGUAUCUAGUCAUCAGCUCCUAGAACCAAGCAUCAUGCCUGUUACCAUCUCAACGCCAUCUCCUGGCACAUCAAUCAAUGGCGAGAUGAAUACAUGAAUAAAUAAGAUACUGGCAAA
Long non-coding RNA from Felis catus (domestic cat), 222 nucleotides. RefSeq lists it as uncharacterized. NCBI's taxonomy places the organism in Eukaryota, Metazoa, Chordata, Mammalia, Carnivora, Felidae. The record is from RefSeq and is a predicted model, not a curated record. The transcript is spliced from 2 exons.